GAUGAACGCUGGCGGCGUGCCUAAUACAUGCAAGUCGAGCGAACGGACGAGAAGCUUGCUUCUCUGAUGUUAGCGGCGGACGGGUGAGUAACACGUGGAUAACCUACCUAUAAGACUGGGAUAACUUCGGGAAACCGUAGCUAAUACCGGAUAAUAUUUUGAACCGCAUGGUUCAAAAGUGAAAGACGGUCUUGCUGUCACUUAUAGAUGGAUCCGCGCUGCAUUAGCUAGUUGGUAAGGUAACGGCUUACCAAGGCAACGAUGCAUAGCCGAAGUGAGGGGGUGAUCGGCCACACUGGAACUGAGACACGGUCCAGACUCCUACGGGAGGCAGCAGUAGGGAAUCUUCCGCAAUGGGCGAAAGCCUGACGGAGCAACGCCGCGUGAGUGAUGAAGGUCUUCGGAUCGUAAAACUCUGUUAUUAGGGAAGAACAUAUGUGUAAGUAACUGUGCACAUCUUGACGGUACCUAAUCAGAAAGCCACGGCUAACUACGUG
RNAcentral lists this ribosomal RNA (497 nucleotides) under uncultured bacterium. Its description in RNAcentral is "partial 16S ribosomal RNA". It matches the Rfam family "Bacterial small subunit ribosomal RNA", at positions 28 to 507 of the family's 1533-position model. The record is from RNAcentral.